AGAGGUAUAGCUCAACCCGGUUAGAGCAACGGCCUUUUAAGCCGCGGAUUUAGGUUCAACUCCUAAUACCCGUA
Molecule: transfer RNA, 74 nt
Filed under: bacterium
Lineage: Bacteria
Description: tRNA-Lys
Rfam family: tRNA
About the family: Transfer RNA (tRNA) molecules are approximately 80 nucleotides in length. Their secondary structure includes four short double-helical elements and three loops (D, anti-codon, and T loops).
Source: RNAcentral